Molecule: ribosomal RNA, 327 nt
Filed under: uncultured eukaryote
Lineage: Eukaryota
Description: partial 18S ribosomal RNA
Rfam family: Eukaryotic small subunit ribosomal RNA
Source: RNAcentral
CCCUUAGAUGUUCUGGGCCGCACACGCGCUACACUGAAGGAGGCAGCGUGUACUCCUGGAUCGAAAGAUUUGGGUAACCCGCGAAUCUCCUUCGUGCUAGGGAUUGAGGUUUGCAAUUAUCCUUCAUGAACGAGGAAUUCCAAGUAAGUGCAAGUCAUAAGCUUGCGCUGACUACGUCCCUGCCCUUUGUACACACCGCCCGUCGCUACUACCGAUUGAAUGAUUUAGUGAGGACUUCGGACUGGGACCGAUGCGGCUUUCGGGCUGCGUCGGUAUUCUGGAAAGAUGUCCAAACUGUAUCAUUUAGAGGAAGUAAAAGUCGUAACA